UACGUAGGUGGCAAGCGUUGUCCGGAAUCAUUGGGCGUAAAGCGCGCGCAGGCGGUCCUUUAAGUCUGAUGUGAAAUCUUGCGGCUCAACCGUAAGCGGUCAUUGGAAACUGGGGGACUUGAGUGCAGGAGAGGAAAGCGGAAUUCCAUGUGUAGCGGUGAAAUGCGUAGAGAUAUGGAGGAACACCAGUGGCGAAGGCGGCUUUCUGGCCUGUAACUGACGCUGAGGCGCGAAAGCGUGGGGAGCAAACAGGAUUAGAUA
RNAcentral lists this ribosomal RNA (261 nucleotides) under uncultured prokaryote. RNAcentral describes it as "partial 16S ribosomal RNA". It matches the Rfam family "Bacterial small subunit ribosomal RNA", at positions 524 to 784 of the family's 1533-position model. The record is from RNAcentral.